This 253-nucleotide ribosomal RNA is filed under the name uncultured bacterium. RNAcentral's name for it is "partial 16S ribosomal RNA". It matches the Rfam family "Bacterial small subunit ribosomal RNA", at positions 524 to 776 of the family's 1533-position model. The record is from RNAcentral.
UACAGAGGGGGCAAGCGUUAUUCGGAAUUAUUGGGCGUAAAGGGCGCGUAGGCGGCGAUUCAAGUGACGGGUGAAAUCCCUCGGCUUAACCGAGGAACUGCCUGUCAGACUGGAUUGCUUGAGGCCGGGAGAGGCGAGUGGAAUUCCCAGUGUAGCGGUGAAAUGCGUAGAUAUUGGGAGGAACACCAGUGGCGAAGGCGGCUCGCUGGACCGGUUCUGACGCUGAGGCGCGAAAGCUAGGGGAGCAAACGGG